UCAGAUAAUAGUUUAAUUAGAAUAUUAAUUUUGGGGAUUAUAGGUAAAGUAAUUUUUAUCUGAG
This 64-nucleotide transfer RNA is filed under the name Asiomorpha coarctata. RNAcentral's name for it is "tRNA-Pro". Lineage: Eukaryota; Metazoa; Arthropoda; Diplopoda; Polydesmida; Paradoxosomatidae. The record is from RNAcentral.